Molecule: ribosomal RNA, 263 nt
Filed under: uncultured bacterium
Lineage: Bacteria
Description: partial 16S ribosomal RNA
Rfam family: Bacterial small subunit ribosomal RNA
Source: RNAcentral
UACGUAGGUGGCGAGCGUUGUCCGGAUUUACUGGGUGUAAAGGAUGCGUAGGCGGAUGUUCAAGUCAGAUGUGAAAAUCCCGGGCUUAACUUGGGAAUUGCAUUUGAAACUGGAUAUCUGGAGUGCAGGAGAGGUGAGCGGAAUUCCUAGUGUAGCGGUGAAAUGCGUAGAUAUUAGGAAGAACACCGGUGGCGAAGGCGGCUCACUGGACUGUAACUGACGCUGAGGCAUGAAAGCGUGGGUAGCAAACAGGAUUAGAUACC